Molecule: long non-coding RNA, 4901 nt
Organism: Calidris pugnax (ruff)
Lineage: Eukaryota; Metazoa; Chordata; Aves; Charadriiformes; Scolopacidae
Exons: 4
Source: RefSeq, a predicted model, not a curated record
AUGUUUGUUAUCAGAGAGAGGUGCUAUGAACACAGAGCCAUUUUCUUAGCAGCUCUUUGACUCUGUGUUACCAUAGUCCCACACGGUAUUGGUCCUUUCCCGUUGGGAAGUCAUGAAUAAGAGACUAUGAAGCUUGCACGUCAGAUCUUCCUCAAUUAAUCCUCCAUUAGCAUGUUUGGGAUCCUCUACUGGAUGGUUAACAGCAGCUUUGGUAACUGUAUGCUGUCCAUACCCAAUUAUGCUCUGCUAAAAAUGAACUCUGCAGAACAACCUUCCUGAGCUGUCAGUGUCUCCCGUUUUCCUAUUUUAACGCUUGUGUGUAGUGGCAGGCGACAGAUGGUGUAGAUCAGAUCGAUUUGAUUGCAUUAGGCGAUUUUUUUUUCCUCCUCUCCCCCCCGACUCCUUUUCUGGAAGCCCACAUUCAUCUGAGAGGCGAUCGCCGGGGACACGGGAAGCAAGAGCAGCCGCCGAUGUGUGAAAGCAACGAGACAUGGCCAGCCAGAGGCGCCGGGGUCCCUUCCCGGGGUUUGUUAACAUGGUAAUCCGGCACCAGGAGAGAAAGCUGCUUUCUGCUGCCCAGAGCCCAUUCCCCAUCACACAUCAGAUGACUCCCUGGUUUUACACACAGUUGGAGUUCUGCUCGAAACCUGGAUUUAAAGGGAAUCUGUUGCUGCGUGUGACAUCUCUUGCAAGCUCCCAGAGAGAAUUGAUGGAGCAUACAGCUAGGGAAUAGGAUGCCAGAGAAGCACAGAGGAAGAAACCAGGCAAUCACCAGGAUGGGAAGGUUCCGCAUCCGUUGGAUAUGGGACAAGAUCACUCGGCAACCCUUGUGGAUUCUCCUUCUUCUAGAGGGCAAUUAUAGUUAUGGAUUUAUUGUCCCGGUGCAACACUUCGACCACCACCACCAGCAGCAGCAGCAGCAACACCAGCAGCUUUCUGACUCUCUUCGGUGACGGGUAUUCUUGGGUGGAUAAUACGGAUUACGUUGUUAUUGCUUAAGAAUACGCGUAGUCGAGGAGAGUACCGGCGGCGGGCAGGCAGGCAGGCAGCGCGACCGCCCCCAGCCCACCAGCUGGCUCCUCACCUCCUCUAGUUGCCAAGGUGACCCUCGCACCCUGCCUACGCUCCAUGCUCCCGGUUGUCAGCCCCGCGAUGGCAGGCAGACAGACAGACAGACAUCUGGACUCCCACUUCCCCUGGCCACCGCACCGGGAGUUUGGUGCUCCUGGAGCCGCCUGGGCGCCGCGGGACACCCACCCAUCUGCCAGAGGCCUGACCCAGCCCCACCGCCGGCCGAGACGCUGCCGGGGACAGCUUCACCCUGCUUGCUGCUGCCUCCUUGUUCUACUCCUCUGAGUUAUGCCCCAGCCCGCUGCGCCGCUGCCUCCGGGCUCUGCUGAGUUUUCAAUUAUCACAAUAUACAAUGCAGAUGCUAUGUAAAACAGCUAGCAUGACUCAGUAGCAGGCUGAGCUCAGUAGAAAUACAGUUAAAUAAAAAGGACUGCUAUAAUACCAGGAGGCUGAUUGGAACCGCAAGAUACCAGUGUCAUAUCCUGUGGCUUUUAUGUUGGUAGAUGUAGAUUUUAGCCAUUAGAGUCUAGCUAUCCAGCAGAUAACAACCAGAGGAAAUGGAUCUGGGUAUCUUCAAUUGUGAAUAACUGAUACGCUUUCACCAAUAAAGGGAGGACCUGGUAAACUGCCAGAAGAAAACAAACUUUUGAGAUACCUACAAAUAUAAUUAGGCAUGUAAUAUGUGGUAGCUUCUAACUGUGUGUAACUUAAACUCCCUGAUUACCCACAAUAUAUUUAAAAUGGUGCAUGGAGAGAGGUCUGACUUCAGAGAACUCAUGUGUGGUUACAUUCUCAACUCCAAAUUCAGGCAAGGAAAUAAAUAGCAAUUGCAUGUCUCAACUAACCUAUUUGUACAAACAGUAACAAACCCCCAGAUCAGGUAUCAUGAUAUCUAGGUGGGGGUAAAAUGCUAUGACAAAAGAGAGAGAAAUAAGCAAAAAAUACAGUAGUGUAAAAUGUGCCUGUUAUUAUAUUUCUAGAAAAGCUCAGCAGCUGGAAUUUUAGAAUGUGCUAUGUAGACAAAUGUAAAAAGAGCAACACAUUAAGUGUUUUUUUUUUCUCCAGAGCAAAAUGAAAUAGGCACACAGAGUAAAUUAUAAUAUUUAGUACUUUCAGGGCAAAUUCUAGUUGAGGAUCAUGAAGUAAUUUGAAAAUAUUAAUGAAUUAGCCUCACAGCUAGCUUUCAGGUAGAUAAUAAUGAUAAUUAUUACUAUAAAUAAAUAUUAUUAUUAUCAUUCUUGCUCCACGGAAAUGAAAAUUGAGGCAUAAAGAAUUUAUGUAUUUGUCCAAAGUCUGUGUUUUACUACUGUAACCAUCCUUCUCUAGAACCAUUAUAUAUAAAUUUUAUCAUUUUCCAAAUACUGUCUGUGAUAUACUAUUCAGUUUAUGAGCUCUAAAAACCAACCAGCUGAGCUUCCUUAUGAAACAGUGCCUGUGAACAUCUCCAUUUGCAUUUGAAUUCUCAAGCAGUGACAAUCCUGCUUAAAAAAAAUAUAAAGAAAAAAGGAAUCAUGAAAAUCAGUACAAAAUCUGUCAGGGCCCCAUCUGUGACUGGGUAUCAGAAUAUCGCUAAGAAGCUCUGAGGAACAAAGUUCAUUCCAAGUCUAACGCAUAGUGCUUUUUGGUGGAUGAAAUUAAUUCAAACAGGGUGAAAUGAGGGCACAUACCAUAGAAAACUCUGUUCCUCCGCUGAGGAGUGAAGGAAAGCAGCAUCUCUGCUGCGUGUGUGAUCUCGGGUCUGGUACAUGUAGUCAUGCUUAAAUACUAAAGGUUUAACAUGGCAAAAUAUUCAGCGUGCUCACAUCUCCUUUUGAUAGCUACGUAUACCUGCUGCUUUUCUGAGGAGUCUCAUGGAAUGGGUGAUCUCUGGUCCUGACAAGAUGAGGACUUAGAUGAUACGUGCUUGUUGCAAACAGCAAGCUUUCAUAGCCAGCUACCUGAAGUAGUAUGGAAACAAACGACUCCUCCCUGGCCUUGAAAAUACCCCUACAAACAUGUUUACUUCCUUCUGAAUGGGAAUAUAUAAAGGUUAGGGACACUUAUUUGUAUGUUUAUAUAUUUGUAUGUAUGUUUGUAUAUUUAUAUAUCUCCUCUUCAGGAUCUGAAUUCCUAAGAGUCUUGGCCUUAGCUUUUUGCUCUCACACAUGCAAUAUUUGGAAUUAACUGCAGGAAAUAGGAGAGCCACAGCAUUAACAGCAUUUUAAUACACCGUAUUAUUUUUCUUUCCCUUUUUUUAACCAUUAGAGUAUGCAAAUGUUCAGUUAACUGGUCCUCAUGUUUUCUCUUUAUUGAAUUGCUUUCACUAUGGCAAAUAAAUAUUCAUAAAGAAAUGUGGACAAUAAAUCAUUUCAAAUAGUUCAAAGACAUUUUGCUUGUAGACUGCAUAUAUAUUCAGCUGUGACUUGCCUUUAAUAUUUCAUUCAAGAGAGAGACGUGUAGAAGGACAAUGGAGAUAAUGUGUCAAGUAGUAAUUAAAACAGGGGGUAAUGAUUAAAACCAUUUUGAUUUACAUUGUGCUCUGUCAAAUUCAUAAUCUCCUGUGUUUGUUAAGAUGACUUUCUACUUGUUUUAUACAGAAACUCAAAAUAAAUUUCUGUUUGAAGACGCUGCACAGAACAAAAGAUUUCAGCCCUGAGCUUGUGCGGUGCAGAGCCUUUCCCAUCUCUGGAGUUUGGGUAAAUAUUCUGCACCAUCCUAGCAAGAUAAAACUCAGGCAGGCACUGUCCCUCCUCCUAAUACUGUGACUGCUCUGGGAAGUAGAUCCAGAUGCAGAACAGAAGACAGCCAAGGGACACCCUAGUGUGUACAGGCACAUGCAACCUGUCUCACCAUUUAGAUUUAAGCUAAGAGCUCCAAAAAAGUCGAAGUUAAAGAUUUGGUUAGUUUAUACAUUUGGGGAUCUUGGUUCAAAUCCAAGUAACAAUGUUACUUGGAUGUUGUGUCAUUAUAUGCGUUUUGGCUACUAAUACACAUAUUGGCCCAAACUCGUUAUCUUUCCUGAUUUGUUGCUGACUUUAGGCCCUGAUUCAACACAGCACUUACAUACAGACUUAAAUAAAUUGAUUCAGGAAAGCAUUCCUCUUUGUGUUUAAUCUUCAGCAGACAUUCAACUUCGAAAUCAAUGGGACUUAUGAACAGGCCUGACCUUGGGGUCUAAAUGGUUGCUGAAUCAGUGCAUUGACAGAAACAUACUGGAAAAGAUAAUAUCCAUGUCUAAUCAGAAUUAUAGCCUCUACUUUCAUGGGAAAUUACCCAUAGAUAACACAUUAUUCUGCUCAAGAAAUCCAUUUUAUAGCAUUUAUUAGAAAGCCUUAAUUCACAUUGUCUGUUUAUGCCAAAGAUAGCAGAUGAGCAGUGUCAUUCCUUGAUAGUGUAUCUGUAAUAUUGUUUGAAAGAGAAAAUAAAAUACAGGAAAAGUGCUGGCAUAAGGGGCCAUUCCUAAUUAUUUACUGAGACUUUCUCAAUUGCCUGCCACAUGGCAAUACUUUGGAGGACGGGCAGGAGGAAAAUAAGGCAGAGUGGUUCUGAAAUCCCAUGGACAUGAAGAAAAUUGCCUAUGAAAUACCAUGUUAUGUAGUAUCUAAAACUGAAAUUCCUCACUUAGAAUAACAUUUAUAAGAGCUGUUUGUCCAGUCUACCUAUGGAAUUUUGAGUGAUCACAUGUUUUUGUUAUACCAGAGCAGCAAGAGUAAAAGGGGUGGAUGUUUCUGGUAUUGUGGUGUACAGGUUAUGCAAGUGCAACUAUGGCCAAAUCUAUGAAAUUACGAGAAGCAGUUGGUAAAAUAAUUGAUCCUAUGUUGCAUGAAAUAAAAUAAUCUUCUUGCUAUUCU